UUCGCCACACCCACGCCCUUCGCCAUAGUACCAAUAAGGUACGGCGUCAAGGGCUGCGGGCGAAGAGUUUUCGCCACACGCCGCGCCCUUCGCCAUAGUACCAAUAAGGUACGGCGUCAAGGGCUGCGGGCGAAGAGGUUUCGCCACACCCACGCCCUUUGCCAUAGUGCCAAUAAGGCUGCGGGUGAAGAGGUUUCGCCACACGCCACGCCCCACGCCACGCCCUUCGCCAUACGUCAAUGGCUGCGGGCGAAGAGGUUUCGCCACACCCACGCCCUCACGCCCUUUGCCAUAGUACCAAUAAGGAACGGCGUCAAGGGCUACGGGCGAAGAGGUUUCGCCACAUGCCACGCCCUUCGCCAUAGCGCCAAUAAGGCAUGGAGUCUAGGGCUGCGGGCGAAGAGGUUUCGCCACAACCACGCCCUUCGCCAUAGUACCAAUAAUGGCUGCGGGCGAAGAGGUUUCGCCACAACCAUGCCCUUCGCCAUAGUGCCAAUAAGGCACGGCGUCAAGGGCUGCGGGCGAAGAGGUUUCGGCACACGCCACGCCCUUCGCCAUAGUGCCAAUAAGGCAUGGCGUCAAGGGCUGUGGGCGAAGAGGUUUCGCCACACGCCACGCCCUUCACCAUAG
Molecule: long non-coding RNA, 630 nt
Filed under: Oryza sativa tropical japonica subgroup
Lineage: Eukaryota; Viridiplantae; Streptophyta; Magnoliopsida; Poales; Poaceae
Description: lncRNA OsKeNa_01g0017290
Source: RNAcentral